CCUACGGGAGGCAGCAGUGGGGAAUAUUGGGCAAUGGGCGCAAGCCUGACCCAGCAACGCCGCGUGCAGGAAGAAGGCUUUCGGGUUGUAAACUUCUUUUCUCAGGGACGAAGCAAGUGACGGUACCUAAGUAAUAAGCCACGGCUAAAUACGUGCCAGCAGCCGCGGUAAUACGGAGGUGGCAAGCGUUAUCCGGAUUUGCUGGGUGUAAGGGGCGUGUAGGCGGGACUGCAAGUCAGAUGUGAAAACCACGGGCUCAACCUGUGGCCUGCAUUUGAAACUGUAGUGCUUGAGUACUGGAGAGGCAGACGGAAUUCCUAGUGUAGCGGUGAAAUGCGUAGAUAUUAGGAGGAACACCAGUGGCGAAGGCGGUAUGCUGGACAGCAACUGACGCUGAGGCGCGAAAGCGCGGGGAGCAAACAGGAUUAGAUACCCGGGUAGUC
RNAcentral lists this ribosomal RNA (443 nucleotides) under uncultured bacterium. RNAcentral's name for it is "partial 16S ribosomal RNA". It matches the Rfam family "Bacterial small subunit ribosomal RNA", at positions 338 to 795 of the family's 1533-position model. The record is from RNAcentral.